This 443-nucleotide ribosomal RNA is filed under the name uncultured bacterium. RNAcentral describes it as "partial 16S ribosomal RNA". It matches the Rfam family "Bacterial small subunit ribosomal RNA", at positions 338 to 795 of the family's 1533-position model. The record is from RNAcentral.
CCUACGGGGGGCAGCAGUGGGGAAUAUUGGGCAAUGGAGGCAACUCUGACCCAGCAACGCAGCGUGAGCGAUGAAGGUCUUCGGAUUGUAAAGCUCUUUAAGCGGGGACGAAGAAAGUGACUGUACCCGCAGAAUAAGCCUCGGCUAACUACGUGCCAGCAGCAGCGGUAAUACGUAGGAGGCAAGCGUGAUCCGGAAUGGCUGGGCGUAAAGGGUGCGUAGGUGGGUUGGCAAGUUGGUAGCGUAAUCCCGGGGCUCAACCGCGGUACUACUACCAAAACUGGUGAACUUGAGUGCAGGGGAGGUGAAUGGAAUUCGCAGUGUAGCGGUGGAAUGCUUAGAUAUUGCGAAGAACUCCAGCGGCGAAGGCGAUUCACUGGACUGUAACUGACACUGAGGCACGAAAGCGUGGGGAGCAAACAGGAUUAGAUACCCUAGUAGUC